GACGAACGCUGGCGGCGUGCUUAACACAUGCAAGUCGAACGGAAAGGCCCUGCUUUUGUGGGGUGCUCGAGUGGCGAACGGGUGAGUAACACGUGAGUAACCUGCCCUUGACUUUGGGAUAACUUCAGGAAACUGGGGCUAAUACCGGAUAGGAGCUCCUGCUGCAUGGUGGGGGUUGGAAAGUUUCGGCGGUUGGGGAUGGACUCGCGGCUUAUCAGCUUGUUGGUGGGGUAGUGGCUUACCAAGGCUUUGACGGGUAGCCGGCCUGAGAGGGUGACCGGCCACAUUGGGACUGGGAUACGGCCCAGACUCCUACGGGAGGCAGCAGUGGGGAAUAUUGCACAAUGGGCGGAAGCCUGAUGCAGCAACGCCGCGUGCGGGAUGACGGCCUUCGGGUUGUAAACCGCUUUCGCCUGUGACGAAGCGUGAGUAACGGUAAUGGGUAAAGAAGCACCGGCUAACUACGUGCCAGCAGCCGCGGUGAUACGUAGGGUGCGAGCGUUGUCCGGAUUUAUUGGGCGUAAAGGGCUCGUAGGUGGUUGAUCGCGUCGGAAGUGUAAUCUUGGGGCUUAACCCUGAGCGUGCUUUCGAUACGGGUUGACUUGAGGAAGGUAGGGGAGAAUGGAAUUCCUGGUGGAGCGGUGGAAUGCGCAGAUAUCAGGAGGAACACCAGUGGCGAAGGCGGUUCUCUGGGCCUUUCCUGACGCUGAGGAGCGAAAGCGUGGGGAGCGAACAGGCUUAGAUACCCUGGUAGUCCACGCUGUAAACGGUGGGUACUAGGUGUGGGGUCCAUUCCACGGGUUCCGUGCCGUAGCUAACGCUUUAAGUACCCCGCCUGGGGAGUACGGCCGCAAGGCUAAAACUCAAAGGAAUUGACGGGGCCCCGCACAAGCGGCGGAGCAUGCGGAUUAAUUCGAUGCAACGCGUAGAACCUUACCUGGGUUUGACAUGGAUCGGGAGUGCUCAGAGAUGGGUGUGCCUCUUUUGGGGUCGGUUCACAGGUGGUGCUUGGCUGUCGUCAGCUCGUGUCGUGAGAUGUUGGGUUAAGUCCCGCAACGAGCGCAACCCUUGUUCACUGUUGCCAGCACGUUAUGGUGGGGACUCAGUGGAGACCGCCGGGGUCAACUCGGAGGAAGGUGGGGAUGACGUCAAGUCAUCAUGCCCCUUAUGUCCAGGGCUUCACGCAUGCUACAAUGGCUGGUACAGAGAGUGGCGAGCCUGUGAGGGUGAGCGAAUCUCGGAAAGCCGGUCUCAGUUCGGAUUGGGGUCUGCAACUCGACCUCAUGAAGUCGGAGUCGCUAGUAAUCGCAGAUCAGCAACGCUGCGGUGAAUACGUUCCCGGG
RNAcentral lists this ribosomal RNA (1343 nucleotides) under uncultured bacterium. RNAcentral describes it as "16S ribosomal RNA". It matches the Rfam family "Bacterial small subunit ribosomal RNA", at positions 28 to 1378 of the family's 1533-position model. The record is from RNAcentral.